Molecule: long non-coding RNA, 702 nt
Organism: Eurytemora carolleeae
Lineage: Eukaryota; Metazoa; Arthropoda; Copepoda; Calanoida; Temoridae
Exons: 3
Source: RefSeq, a predicted model, not a curated record
GAUAGUGGAGAGAAGGUUGGAGAGGAGUUGGAGGACCUAGAAAGAGAGGAGGGCGGAGGUCGUGCGCUGCAGUGGCUAGGAGGAGGGGUGGGUCGACGGGAGGGUCAACUCAAGCUCUUGAACUGGUAAUGGGCCAGAUAAUGGCUGCAUAUCAGAUGCACCAGGAUUAUAACUAUUAGUUAGUUUACUUGCACCUAUAGCUGUAUGUCUCCGCACUAAAUAAUUUAUUAUUUUCAGAUCAUGCAAAUUCAAAGCUAGCAAAAAUGGAUUGAAGAAGAUGAUUGAAGAUCAAGCUGAAGGGAUUAAAGAAAAAGAUUGGAUUGGCUGGAGGAAGAUUUGCCUCAUCAUGGUUUCAUGUCUUUAAAGUGGUUAGCUCACAGAUGCUCAGAAUUGGAGGCCAGUUAAAUAGAAGAGGAGAGAAUGGAAGAAGAUGAGGAGAUGGGAGCGGAGGAAGAGAUACCGGAGAUACAGACAGUGCAAGAAUGGACAGGAGCUGAGGAAGUCACAGACGCUGGGAAAGACACAGAUGCUGAGGAAGACAGGGACGCUGAGGAAGAGACUGGAACUGAGCAAGAGACUGGAGCUGAGGAAGAGACAGAAGCAAAGGAUGAAGGGAUGGGAACGGAGGAGGAGACCUAAGCGAAGGAAGAGACCGAAGUGAAGGAAGGGUGACAUGGAAACGCCUCAACACGGAAACGACUC